RNAcentral lists this transfer RNA (69 nucleotides) under Marmota monax (woodchuck). Its description in RNAcentral is "tRNA.Ala". The stretch from base 4 to 64 matches the Rfam family "tRNA", at positions 6 to 65 of the family's 71-position model. From Rfam's summary of the family: Transfer RNA (tRNA) molecules are approximately 80 nucleotides in length. Their secondary structure includes four short double-helical elements and three loops (D, anti-codon, and T loops). The record is from RNAcentral. Lineage: Eukaryota; Metazoa; Chordata; Mammalia; Rodentia; Sciuridae.
GUUUGUGGCUCCAUGGAAGAGCACUUGCCUGGCAUGCAUGAGGCAUUGGGUUCAAUCCCCAGCAUCACA